CGGACCUGGCGCGGCCCGUGAGGGGGCCGCGACGAGAGGCCAUUGUGGCGAGGGAGGCCUUGGGAGGUGGAGGAGCGAAGCCGCUACCGCGGGACCCAAGCGCCGAGCCUCAGGAGCAGACGAUCUUGAAAACUGUGCCAGGUCCUUGGGGGAAAAAAACUACAUGACACUGCAACAUGAGUGACAGUAAAUGUGAUAGUCAGUUUUACAGUGUUCAAGUCGCAGAUUCCACAUUCACUGUACUAAAACGGUACCAACAAUUGAAGCCCAUAGGAUCUGGGGCUCAGGGCAUUGUUUGUGCUGCAUUUGAUACGGUCCUUGGGAUAAAUGUUGCGGUAAAGAAGCUGAGUCGUCCUUUUCAGAACCAAACUCAUGCAAAAAGAGCUUACAGGGAGCUUGUUCUUUUAAAAUGUGUCAAUCACAAAAACAUAAUUAGUUUGUUAAAUGUAUUCACACCACAGAAGUCACUGGAAGAAUUUCAAGAUGUGUAUUUGGUUAUGGAACUGAUGGAUGCUAAUUUGUGCCAGGUUAUUCAUAUGGAGUUGGAUCAUGAAAGAAUGUCCUACCUUCUCUACCAGAUGUUGUGUGGUAUCAAACAUCUCCAUUCAGCUGGUAUCAUCCACAGAGAUUUGAAACCCAGCAAUAUAGUAGUAAAAUCAGAUUGUACACUCAAAAUCCUUGAUUUUGGACUGGCAAGAACAGCAUGUACUAAUUUUAUGAUGACUCCGUAUGUAGUAACACGGUAUUACAGAGCACCGGAAGUUAUCCUCGGCAUGGGAUACAAAGAGAAUGUUGAUAUCUGGUCAGUUGGGUGCAUCAUGGGAGAAUUGGUGAAAGGUUGUGUGAUAUUCCAAGGCACUGAUCAUAUUGAUCAAUGGAAUAAAGUUAUUGAACAGUUAGGAACACCAUCAGCAGAUUUUAUGAAGAAACUACAGCCUACUGUGAGGAAUUAUGUAGAAAACAGACCGAAAUAUCCGGGUAUCAAAUUUGAAGAGCUCUUCCCAGAUUGGAUAUUUCCAUCGGAGUCUGACCGUGACAAAUUAAAAACAAGUCAAGCUAGAGAUUUAUUAUCAAAAAUGUUGGUGGUAGACCCAGACAAACGAAUUUCUGUAGAUGAAGCCUUACGACAUCCAUAUAUCACGGUCUGGUAUGAUCCAGCUGAAGCGGAAGCACCUCCUCCUAAAAUCUAUGAUGCACAGCUGGAAGAAAGAGAACAUGCCAUUGAAGAAUGGAAAGAAUUAAUAUACAAAGAAGUAAUGGAUUGGGAAGAAAGAAGCAAGAAUGGUGUGGUAAAAGAUCAGCCCUCAGAUGCAGCAGUGAAUAGCAACACCAGUCCUUCCCAGUCAUCAUCGAUCAAUGACAUUUCAUCCAUGUCAACUGAGCAAACAUUGGCUUCAGAUACAGACAGCAGCCUUGAUGCCUUGACAGGACCCCUUGAAGGAUGCCGAUGAUCAGCCAGGAUUGCAGACUUAACAUUGGAAAAAAAAAACUCGUUUCCAUUGGCCUGAAUUGCUUUAGCGGCAACAGGCCCUGAGUGAGACCCGGGCCCCGUGGUGCUAAGCACUGUAAACAUAUCUGGCAAAUGUCGUGUAAAUGAAGAAGACAAACAAAGAGUGGGAGAGAGGAAAGCUGCUUAUCACCAUUUUACACAUUGUCUAAGCUCCUAAAUGACUUAGGCACUUAUGAAAAUGUAACCCCUGCUCACUGCCUGAGGUGGCAGCGGGAGUCGGGCAGAGCUGGGAACUGAAUGCAGUUCUGUUUGGGUCCCAGGCUAGAGCCUUAACCGCCAGAGCCCAUCCUUCUGCAUGGUAAAUGUGUCUGUAAUUUACUGCUUUGAAGUGCCCCUUGGUCCUCACAUUAGGUAACAGGGUAAAAAGGGCGCCGGACCAUUUGCCAGUGCCCUCGGAUACUUUGUUUCUCAUUGAACCUCCCCAUACGCUUCUCCUGCCCAGGUUAUUCCACGUUUAUGGAGCCGCUCAGAAUAAAUGACGCCCUCCUGCCCCUUUCGUCUUGUUGGUUUCCCUGCUCUGGUCUCGUGCCUGUGCAUUAAAUGCAGCUGUUUAGCACAAGAAGUAAAGGUCACUAAGGCAGGUGCCUGGGGCCAUGUCUGUAGAGGGAAAUUUCGCGGAUAGGUUAGUGCUGUUCAAAGCCCUGCCUUUUAUCUCAGCACAAAGGCUCCCCCAGGCCAUCUCAGGCCACGCAGCAAGAGAGGGAGGGGGAAACAGCUAACUCAAAUCCGCACGGCCUGGCCUGUCGUGUUAGCAAAUCCUCCUCUUCCUUGGCAGGGCUGGGUUAAGCAUAUCUCGAGCCGCCUGCAGCCCUAUACGUAGAGGGGCCCCAGUUGGGAUUGUUAAUUCACUCCCCCUCCCAGGGUUAUGACUAACACUGCAGGAGUGUGGGGGGGGUGUGUGUGGCAGAUGAAGCCUCUUGCCGAGGUAGGAGGAACUGCCCGUUGAGAUGCUUCAGAUGAAGCCCCGGCCCCCUAGAAACAGGCAGCCCGAGCAGCUGAGGAGGCAGGCCUUGGACAAAGAUCCCAGCAGCAAGGAGGAAAAAAGAACAGGGACAUGGGAAGAACAGGAUUCUAAACCUCCCCAGCACAUACACUCCUCUUUCCCCUCACCGCUUCCGCUGACAACGUUCCCCCAGGGGGGUUCUCAGGUCAGGCAGUUCCAACAGCUUGGCCUUAGACUCCUCCGGCACCAGGCUCAUCUCAGGGUGUUUGCAGGAGCAGUGAGCAUGAGGUACUGAGCUCUCUGCAUCCUGGUGGGGACCCGCUGCAGCCCAUCAUACCAGGGGGGAGGGGUUGGGCUGGCCUGUUGCUGAAAAAGGCUCUUGGCUAAAGUGGUAAUGGGUGGAAAGACUUUUAGCAUUACCGAUAAUAGGCACUUGGCGCUCUUGCUUCCAAUUUAAAACACGAGCUGCCCUUGGGAUUCGCUGCUCUUAGCGGGUUUUGCACUGUUUUGGAAGACCCAGGGCCUGAUCCAAAGCCCAGUGACAUCAAGGGAAAGACUCCCACUGAUUUCAAUGGACUUUUAAUCUGGGUCCAUGAGUGGAGUAUUGGUAUAAAUGUAAUUGAACAUGGGACUGUCGUUCAACAUGUCCAUGCUCUUGGCCUGCAGGGACAGCAUGUAUCGCCCCUCUCAAUCUUGUCCCAAUCAGCACUUUGCUUGUGUUUGUGGUUGCUUCUGAGAACAUUCUAGUGAAUGUGCUCCACUAGCGCGAUGUCUGGAAAACAAAUAUUUCCUGAAAGCCAGCUUCUAACCUCACAACUAGCCAACACCGCAGACUACAAAUCUGACACUCAGCAAGGUUCUCCCAAAUUCAUGAUGUUGUUCGAUAACCUGCACAAAUCCAUUAGUCAGAAGCCAGGCCAAGCAACUUGCACUGGCUAGUUACAUGGCCCCAGGUGCAAAUUUGAAGUAGCUGCAACAAUCUGUAGGUGAAUAUUUUUCUGACCAGGAAUUGCACAACUAAUUUCAAAGAAUGAAUCCAUUUCCAACUGGUGUGACCAAAAAGGGAGGCAAAAUUCGACUACCUUAUCAAUUAUAAAUUAUUUGCCCAACUCUCCUCACAAGCUAGUGAAGGACACGUGGUUAGGAGAAGAGCUCUGGUUGCCUAAUGUUUGUCCCACAAUGCACUAGUCAGGCACUAAGCCCCCAAAUUGCAUUCAGUACUAUGUGGAUUGCAAGCUCUUUGGGGCAGGAACUCUCUCUUUGUUCUGUUUGGAGCACAAUAGGGUCCUGGUCUAUGACACAUGCAAUGCACAUUCAUGGAUGGACUGCUGCACUUAUGCACCAUCAAUUGCAGGAUCAGGGCCUUAAAGGUGUGGUGUUGUUUUUUAAGCAUCUUUUUUAGUUGCAACCUCCUUAAA
RNA transcript from Mauremys mutica (yellowpond turtle), 3871 nucleotides. It is a transcript of the gene named mitogen-activated protein kinase 9, with no coding region annotated. The record is from RefSeq and is a predicted model, not a curated record. The transcript has 13 exons. Lineage: Eukaryota; Metazoa; Chordata; Testudines; Geoemydidae.